CCUCCGCCCGCCGGAAUCGGAGAGAACUCUAUAUUGGUUUAGAGGUUGAAGCAACUUAACAAUGAGCAGCAUCGGAACUGGGUAUGACCUGUCCGUCACCACUUUCUCCCCGGAUGGCCGUGUCUUCCAGGUCGAGUAUGCUGGCAAGGCCGUCGACAACAGCGGGACGAUCGUUGGCAUCAAAUGCAAAGAUGGAAUCGUCCUUGGUGUGGAGAAGCUGAUAACAUCUAAGAUGAUACUUGCUGGGUCGAAUCGGAGACUUCACUCCAUGCACCACAACUCUGGCUUGC
This is a long non-coding RNA of Lolium rigidum, 290 nucleotides long. RefSeq lists it as uncharacterized. Lineage: Eukaryota; Viridiplantae; Streptophyta; Magnoliopsida; Poales; Poaceae. The record is from RefSeq and is a predicted model, not a curated record. The transcript has 4 exons.